Molecule: ribosomal RNA, 1504 nt
Filed under: metagenome
Description: bacterial LSU rRNA
Rfam family: Bacterial large subunit ribosomal RNA
Source: RNAcentral
UAGAUCAGAAGCGAGAAUGUUGACAUGAGUAGCGAUAAAGAGGGUGAGAGACCCUCUCGCCGUAAGUCCAAGGGUUCCUGCUUAAAGCUAAUCUGAGCAGGGUAAGCCGGCCCCUAAGGUGAGGCCGAAAGGCGUAGUUGAUGGGAACCACGUUAAUAUUCGUGGGCCAGGAGGAAGUGACGGAUCUCGAAGGUAGUUUGCCCUUAUCGGAUUGGGUGGGCUGCUCAGAGGUUCCAGGAAAUAGCCCUCCAUCAGACCGUACCCUAAACCGACACAGGUGGACUGGUAGAGUAUACCAAGGCGCUUGAGAGAACCACGUUAAAGGAACUCGGCAAAAUGCCUCCGUAAGUUCGCGAGAAGGGGGCCCCAUAUCUGGGCAACCAGGUGUGGGGGGCACAAACUAGGGGGUGGCGACUGUUUACUUAAAACACAGGGCUGUGCGAAGCCGUAAGGCGACGUAUACAGUCUGACGCCUGCCCGGUGCUGGAAGGUUAAAAGGAGGGGUGCAAGCUCUGAAUUGAAGCCCCAGUAAACGGCGGCCGUAACAAUAACGGUCCUAAGGUAGCGAAAUUCCUUGUCGGGUAAGUUCCGACCUGCACGAAUGGCGUAACGAUCUCCCCGCUGUCUCUAACGUGGACUCAGCGAAAUUGAACUGUGUGUCAAGAUGCACACUACCCGCGGUUAGACGGAAAGACCCCAUGCACCUUUACUCCAGCUUUGCACUGGUAUCAGGAUUGUGAUGUGCAGGAUAGGUGGUAGGCAUCGAAGCGGGGACGCCAGUUCUCGUGGAGCCUCCCUUGAGAUACCACCCUUCGCCAUCUUGAUAUCUAACCGCGGCCCGUUAUCCGGGUCCGGGACCCUGCAUGGUGGGGAGUUUGACUGGGGCGGUCGCCUCCCAAACAGUAACGGAGGCGCGCGAAGGUAGGCUCAGACCGGUCGGAAAUCGGUCGUUGAGUGCAAUGGCAGAAGCCUGCCUGACUGCAAGUCUGACAAGACGAGCAGAGACGAAAGUCGGUCAUAGUGAUCCGGUGGUCCCAAGUGGGAGGGCCAUCGCUCAACGGAUAAAAGGUACGCUGGGGAUAACAGGCUGAUGAUGCCCAAGAGUCCAUAUCGACGGCAUCGUUUGGCACCUCGAUGUCGGCUCAUCUCAUCCUGGGGCUGGAGCAGGUCCCAAGGGUAUGGCUGUUCGCCAUUUAAGGAGGUACGUGAGCUGGGUUUAGAACGUCGUGAGACAGUUCGGUCCCUAUCUGCCGUGGGUGUAGGAGACUUGAGAAGAGUUGCCCCUAGUACGAGAGGACCGGGGUGAACGAACCACUGGUGGACCAGUUGUCGUGCCAACGGCAGUGCUGGGUAGCUAUGUUCGGACAGGAUAACCGCUGAAGGCAUCUAAGCGGGAAGCCCCCUUCAAAACAAGGUCUCCCUUGAGAGCCGUGGAAGACCACGACGUCGAUAGGCCGGAGGUGUAAGUGCAGCAAUGCAUUCAGCUGACCGGUACUAAUUGCUU